RNAcentral lists this ribosomal RNA (478 nucleotides) under uncultured bacterium. RNAcentral's name for it is "bacterial SSU rRNA". It matches the Rfam family "Bacterial small subunit ribosomal RNA", at positions 28 to 507 of the family's 1533-position model. The record is from RNAcentral.
GAUGAACGCUAGCGGCAGGCCUAACACAUGCAAGUCGAGGGGUACAGUUCUUCGGAACUAGAGACCGGCGCACGGGUGCGUAACGCGUAUGCAAUCUACCUUUUACAGGGGAAUAGCCCAGAGAAAUUUGGAUUAAUGCCCCAUAGUGUUAUAGAAUCGCAUGGUUUUAUAACUAAAGUUCCAACGGUAAAAGAUGAGCAUGCGUCCCAUUAGUUAGUUGGUAAGGUAACGGCUUACCAAGACAAUGAUGGGUAGGGGUCCUGAGAGGGAGAUCCCCCACACUGGUACUGAGACACGGACCAGACUCCUACGGGAGGCAGCAGUGAGGAAUAUUGGACAAUGGGCGCAAGCCUGAUCCAGCCAUGCCGCGUGCAGGAAGACGGUCCUAUGGAUUGUAAACUGCUUUUGUACAGGAAGAAACACUCCCUCGUGAGGGAGCUUGACGGUACUGUAAGAAUAAGGAUCGGCUAACUCCGUG